This 460-nucleotide ribosomal RNA is filed under the name uncultured bacterium. Its description in RNAcentral is "partial 16S ribosomal RNA". It matches the Rfam family "Bacterial small subunit ribosomal RNA", at positions 338 to 795 of the family's 1533-position model. The record is from RNAcentral.
CCUACGGGUGGCAGCAGUGAGGAAUAUUGGUCAAUGGCCGGAAGGCUGAACCAGCCAUGCCGCGUGAAGGUCAGUGCCCUAUGGGCGUUAAACUUCUUUUGUGCGGGAGCAAUAAUGGUCACGUGUGGCCAGACGAGAGUACCGUACGAAUAAGCAUCGGCUAACUCCGUGCCAGCAGCCGCGGGAAUACGGGGGAUGCAAGCGUUAUCCGGAUUUAAUGGGGUUAAAGGGUGCGUAAGGUGUGAGGUAAGUCAGGAGGGGAAUGCCCCCGCCCAACGGGGGGAAGUGCCAUUGAUACUGGCCGGCUAGAGUGCAGAUGCGGUAGGAGGAAUGUAUGGUGUAGCGGUGAAAUGCAUAGAGAUCACACAGAACACCGAUUGCGAAGGCAGCUCACGAAGCCACGUUUGACGCUGAGGCACGAAAGCGUGGGUAGCAAACAGGAUUAGAUACCCGAGUAGUC